RNAcentral lists this ribosomal RNA (370 nucleotides) under uncultured bacterium. RNAcentral's name for it is "bacterial SSU rRNA". It matches the Rfam family "Bacterial small subunit ribosomal RNA", at positions 524 to 898 of the family's 1533-position model. The record is from RNAcentral.
UACGGAGGAUCCAAGCGUUAUCCGGAAUCAUUGGGUUUAAAGGGUCCGUAGGUGGACGGUUAAGUCAGAGGUGAAAUCCUGCAGCUCAACUGUAGAAUUGCCUUUGAUACUGGUCGUCUUGAAUCAUUGUGAAGUGGUUAGAAUAUGUAGUGUAGCGGUGAAAUGCAUAGAUAUUACAUAGAAUACCGAUUGCGAAGGCAGAUCACUAACAAUGUAUUGACACUGAUGGACGAAAGCGUGGGGAGCGAACAGGAUUAGAUACCCUGGUAGUCCACGCCGUAAACGAUGGAUACUAGCUGUCCGGCGCAAGCUGGGUGGCUAAGCGAAAGUGAUAAGUAUCCCACCUGGGGAGUACGUUCGCAAGAAUGAA